CCUACGGGAGGCAGCAGUGGGGAAUCUUGCGCAAUGGGCGAAAGCCUGACGCAGCCAUGCCGCGUGAAUGAUGAAGGUCUUAGGAUUGUAAAAUUCUUUCAGUAGGGACGAUAAUGACGGUACCUACAGAAGAAGCCCCGGCUAACUUCGUGCCAGCAGCCGCGGUAAUACGAAGGGGGCUAGCGUUGCUCGGAAUUACUGGGCGUAAAGGGAGCGUAGGCGGGUUAUCAAGUUGGAGGUGAAAGCCCAGGGCUCAACCUUGGAAUUGCCUUCAAAACUGAUAGCCUAGAGUAUGAUAGAGGUAAGUGGAACUCCGAGUGUAGAGGUGAAAUUCGUAGAUAUUCGGAAGAACACCAGUGGCGAAGGCGACUUACUGGAUCAUGACUGACGCUGAGGCUCGAAAGCGUGGGGAGCAAACAGGAUUAGAUACCCUGGUAGUCCACGCUGUAAACGAUGAUUGCUAGUUGUCGGACGGCAUGCCGUUCGGUGACGCAGCUAACGCAUUAAGCAAUCCGCCUGGGGGAGUACGUCGCAGAUAACUACAAGAAGUAGAGCGNGAGAGNGCGACGACGACGACGAGGAGAG
Molecule: ribosomal RNA, 585 nt
Filed under: uncultured bacterium
Lineage: Bacteria
Description: bacterial SSU rRNA
Rfam family: Bacterial small subunit ribosomal RNA (bases 1-517)
Source: RNAcentral